Molecule: long non-coding RNA, 2740 nt
Organism: Xenia sp. Carnegie-2017
Lineage: Eukaryota; Metazoa; Cnidaria; Anthozoa; Malacalcyonacea; Xeniidae
Exons: 2
Source: RefSeq, a predicted model, not a curated record
GUAAGAUUUGGCUCAAUUAUUUGCUUCCUUGUAUUUUAGUACAAUGGUUUAGUUAGCUUGGUGAGGAUAUCACCACAUAUCAUUUAAAAAUGUUUUUGAAAGUGCGUUUAUACAAGAUUCCAUUUGAAGGAACCGGUGCGCCAGAUAGGCCCGUUCCAUACGAAUUGGUUGAUAAUACUGUUAGAGAUAAUGGCGAUGAUAAAGACAUACUCGGAUUUAUCGUUCUUUGACAAGUACGAUAUUUUACUCGUUUCCUGUCUAUAUAGUCACGCGUCAUGAAAAUUUCCAUUUUCAGAAGUGCAGCUGAACAACGAUUUUUUAAAACACCGACAAAACGAUGGUGAAAAGACAAUGCAAAGUAUUUCAUACAAAUCAAUUUUCUAGAAACAAUGAAACUGCAACUAUAUCAGUCAACUAAUAUUGUAAUAACCUUGUUUUAGUUUGUAAUUGGUUAUGAUAAACCUCAAUUAGGAAAGCUCAUAAAUAAUGUAUUGUGCUGACAUGUCUGCAAAACACUGUACAUUUUUGUGGCCAAGUUUGUACAACCAACCCAUUCUGUGGCAGUGUAGCAGAUCAGCAACGAUCACCAAACGAAGUGGAAAACAAAGUUUUGAAAAUCUUCGCCACCUAAAGAUUUGAAAGAUGUCAGUCAAGCACAAGUGAAGACAUGAAUAUUCAAAAGUGAACGUAUGAAUAGUCAACCCCCCCCCCGCCCAAUUAACGUUCUACUUACGGUUUCGUGCACUCCUCAGCAUUUUUACGGGAUUGGCGCAAAGGCGAUACUCUAGAGGAUGCAUUUGUCACAAAGAUUUUAAAUACAGUUAAAUCAUCAUGAUUUUACACUUUUCUUGCACACAUAUUACUGUAAUUUUGGUCGAAGACAUUACAAAUUUACAAUAUCGCCAUUUUUGUCAUGAUGGAAUGAAAAGAGGUUACCACCAAAGUCUAGCGUUGUGAUGUAGAAAAGAAAUGAAGAGAGAGAGGUGAUUCGGGCAGUUACAGUUUGAUAUAGAAAAGAAAUGAAGACGGAGAUGAGACUCGGGUAGUUACAGUUUGAUGUAGAAAAGAAAUGACGAAGGAGAUGAGAUUCGGCCAGUUACAGUUUGAUGUAGAAAAGAAAUGACGAAGGAGAUGAGAUUCGGGCAGUUACAGUUUGAUGUAGAAAAGAAAUGAAGACGGAGAUGAGACUCGGGUAGUUACAGUUUGAUGUAGAAAAGAAAUGACGAAGGAGAGGAGAUUUGGCCAGUUACAGUUUGAUGUAGAAAAGAAAUGACGAAGGAGAUGAGAUUCGGCCAGUUACAGUUUGAUGUAGAAAAGAAAUGACGAAGGAGACGAGAUUCGGCCACUUACAGUUUGAUGUAGAAAAGAAAUGACGAAGGAGAGGAGAUUCGGGCAGUUACAGUUUGAUGUAGAAAAGAAAUGACGAAGGAGAGGAGAUCGGCCAGUUACAGUUUGAUGUAGAAAGAAAUGACGAAGGAGACGAGAUUCGGCCAGUUACAGUUUGAUGUAGAAAAGAAAUGACGAAGGAGAGGAGAUUCGGGCAGUUACAGUUUGAUGUAGAAAAAAUGAAGAAGGAGAUGAGAUUCGGGCAGUUACAGUUUGAUGUAGAAAAGAAAUGACGAAGGAGACGAGAUUCGGCCAGUUACAGUUUGAUGCAGAAAAGAAAUGACGAAGGAGAUGAGAUUCGGGCAGUUACAGUUUGAUGUAGAAAAGAAAUGAAGAAGGAGAUGAGAUUCUGGCAGUUACAGUUUGAUGUAGAAAAGAAAUGACGAAGGAGAUGAGAUUCUGGCAGUUACAGUUUGAUGUAGAUAGCUACUUGAUAAUUGGAUUGCUUAACAUUUCCUUUAACAAUAUCCUAAUGCUAAUCUUAGCUUGUCGCCUUGUUUUUAUAGGUGUAAUUCAAGCACCAUCGCUACUAUACAAAGGAAGUCCAGUCAUAAAAGAAACAAGAAAUGUUGUGAGAGAGACGAUUUAGAGCCGCUAAUUUGAAAUUCAAAAUAACUUUUUACCCGCGAUAAUGCCAUUGUUAUAAAUCUCCAAGCAAUAUGAUCUUACCAAGCAGGGGCCGGUUGCAUGCAUGAAGUCUGGAUAACUUUAUUCAUUGGAAAGCAAAAAUUUUCAAAUUUGUAAAAAAGGUGUUUAUACUAUUCUUGCGACAAAGAAAUUUCGUAUCUUCGAAACAAUGUUUUAUUCCAGUGAUUGUUCAGUUCGAAUCUUAUACUUUUAGCUUUUUAUAUAAGGUUUUUUAAAAGUUUAAAAAAACUUGCAAUGCGAUGGAUAACCCUAUCCAGGCUUCGUGACCCCGGCCCCAGUAUAAUUAUAAUCUUACUUAUAAUUUUAAUAUAUUUUCCCUAACGUUGUACUCUCCAAUACACCUCGACCCUUAACCGUAAAAGUCACUAUAAGCCUAGCUUUUAUUUCUUUGUGAAAUACCAGCAAUAAAGCUUCAAAGCUAAAAGUAACAAUUACUCGCACCAAUAUGCUGAAGCACCUAUCAAAGCCUGACUUCCAGUUAAACCAAACCAUGAGUUAUUACGCUCAUAAAGUAAGAAUUGAGAAAGUGCACAUGAAUACUUCAAUAAAACCGGUGUAAAAUUCAUAUAAUUCUUUAUCACAGUAAAUAGAUGUCAUUUAAUAAAUAACUGUUUGAUUAAUCAAAUGAAUAAGCACAGAUUAAAAACUACUCAGAUGUAGCAGCAAAGCCAAGCCCGUUUAUAUUUCUACGAUGCAAAUAAAUUCG